GACGAACGCUGGCGGCGUGCUUAACACAUGCAAGUCGAGCGGUAAGGCCCUUUCGGGGGUACACGAGCGGCGAACGGGUGAGUAACACGUGGGUGACCUGCCCUCAGCUCUGGGAUAAGCCUGGGAAACCGGGUCUAAUACUGGAUAUGACUCCAUGACGCAUGUUGUGGGGUGGAAAGCCUUGUGCGGCUGAGGAUGGGCCCGCGGCCUAUCAGCUUGUUGGUGGGGUGANGGCCUA
Molecule: ribosomal RNA, 238 nt
Filed under: uncultured bacterium
Lineage: Bacteria
Description: partial 16S ribosomal RNA
Rfam family: Bacterial small subunit ribosomal RNA
Source: RNAcentral